AAGUCGUAACAAGGUUUCCGUAGGUGAACCUGCGGAAGGAUCAUUAUAGUAUAUCUAUAUCUAGGAUGUGGGGUGCUCUCCGGCCCCCGCCGCCAACCAAUUCGUCAAGUUGCAAAUGACUUUAAUAGUUACCUUGGGUAGGCUUAACUGCCUGUGGAUAAAUCUAAUUCUUUAAUAAACUGGCUGUAAUUAAUGUACUGUCUGAAAUAAUGUUAAUAUUAAA
Molecule: unclassified non-coding RNA, 223 nt
Filed under: plant metagenome
Description: partial contains small subunit ribosomal RNA and internal transcribed spacer 1
Rfam family: Eukaryotic small subunit ribosomal RNA (bases 1-46)
Source: RNAcentral